This 1531-nucleotide ribosomal RNA is filed under the name uncultured bacterium. Its description in RNAcentral is "16S ribosomal RNA". It matches the Rfam family "Bacterial small subunit ribosomal RNA". The record is from RNAcentral.
AGAGUUUGAUCCUGGCUCAGAUUGAACGCUGGCGGAAUGCUUUACACAUGCAAGUCGAACGGCAGCACGGGAGCUUGCUCCUGGUGGCGAGUGGCGAACGGGUGAGUAAUGUAUCGGAACGUACCCCGUCGUGGGGGAUAACUCUCCGAAAGGAGAGCUAAUACCGCAUACGACCCGAGGGUGAAAGCGGGGGACCUGGGGUAACCUGGGCCUCGCGCGAUGGGAGCGGCCGAUAUCGGAUUAGCUAGUUGGUGGGGUAAAGGCCUACCAAGGCGACGAUCCGUAGCGGGUCUGAGAGGACGACCCGCCACACUGGAACUGAGACACGGUCCAGACUCCUACGGGAGGCAGCAGUGGGGAAUUUUGGACAAUGGGCGCAAGCCUGAUCCAGCCAUUCCGCGUGAGUGAAGAAGGCCUUCGGGUUGUAAAGCUCUUUCAGCAGGAACGAAACGGUGGGUCUUAAUACGGCCUGCUAAUGACGGUACCUGCAGAAGAAGCACCGGCUAACUACGUGCCAGCAGCCGCGGUAAUACGUAGGGUGCGAGCGUUAAUCGGAAUUACUGGGCGUAAAGCGUGCGCAGGCGGCGACAUAAGACAGAUGUGAAAUCCCCGGGCUCAACCUGGGAACGGCGUUUGUGACUGUGUGGCUAGAGUGUAGCAGAGGGGGGUGGAAUUCCACGUGUAGCAGUGAAAUGCGUAGAGAUGUGGAGGAACACCGAUGGCGAAGCAGCCCCCUGGGUUAACACUGACGCUCAUGCACGAAAGCGUGGGGAGCAAACAGGAUUAGAUACCCUGGUAGUCCACGCCCUAAACGAUGCCAACUAGGUGUUGGGGGAGGAGACUUCCUUAGUACCGUAGCUAACGCGUGAAGUUGGCCGCCUGGGGAGUACGGUCGCAAGAUUAAAACUCAAAGGAAUUGACGGGGACCCGCACAAGCGGUGGAUGAUGUGGAUUAAUUCGAUGCAACGCGAAAAACCUUACCUACCCUUGACAUGUCCGGAAUCCCGAAGAGAUUUGGGAGUGCUCGAAAGAGAGCCGGAACACAGGUGCUGCAUGGCUGUCGUCAGCUCGUGUCGUGAGAUGUUGGGUUAAGUCCCGCAACGAGCGCAACCCUUAUCAUUAGUUGCCAUCAUUGAGUUGGGCACUCUAAUGAGACUGCCGGUGACAAACCGGAGGAAGGUGGGGAUGACGUCAAGUCCUCAUGGCCCUUAUGGGUAGGGCUUCACACGUCAUACAAUGGUCGGUACAGAGGGUUGCCAACCCGCGAGGGGGAGCUAAUCUCACAAAGCCGAUCGUAGUCCGGAUCGCAGUCUGCAACUCGACUGCGUGAAGUCGGAAUCGCUAGUAAUCGUGGAUCAGCAUGUCACGGUGAAUACGUUCCCGGGUCUUGUACACACCGCCCGUCACACCAUGGGAGUGGGUUCCACCAGAAGUAGGUAGUCUAACCGCGCACCGGCGUAAGUUGGCGUGCGGAGGGCGCUUACCACGGUGGGGUUCAUGACUGGGGUGAAGUCGUAACAAGGUAACCGUA